Setaria italica (foxtail millet) is the source of this 4058-nucleotide long non-coding RNA. RefSeq lists it as uncharacterized. Lineage: Eukaryota; Viridiplantae; Streptophyta; Magnoliopsida; Poales; Poaceae. The record is from RefSeq and is a predicted model, not a curated record. The transcript has 17 exons.
GCUCAUGUUUACUCCUCCUAAUUAGCAUCCGAAUAUCCGAUGUGACACGGACCAAAUUUUAGCUCCAAACACCCCCUCAAUCGCCAAGCGGGAAGCGGAUGCGCAAUCCUCCGGAGGUGCUGCCGCCCUGGCAUCGCUGGAAGAGAUCCCCUGAUUGCCGCAGGUUAUUCAAUCGUCCCUCGACGUCACGGCACAAAAACCUGAUUCCGCCCGCCACCUUCACUCUCCACAAGAAAAUCGAAUCGCUGCUGCUGGAGGCGCCUAAAUCAUCCACCGGCGACGACGCUGGGCUGUUCCAAUCGCAUCCCGGAGUUUAAUUAGCCCCGCCUCGAGGAAAUUCUUUGUGUUUGGGUGACCAGCCCAUCCCAAGGCUGCGGGAGACUGAUGCUCCUUGGUUGCAAAUGCUCCAACGCUGAGAUUUUACUCAAGGUUCAGGUUCAUCCAAUCGCAUCCCCGGAGUUUAAUUAGCCCCCCCUCGACAACCUGUGCCAUUGGUGUGUGCAUUCUUGGUGGAAAUUAUUUGUGUUUGGGUGACCCGCCCAUCCUAAUCCAAGCCAGUGGAGACACGCUAAGGAGCCGAAGAAAAUUCAGGACAGAUUAAAAUCUUUUAGGUUCCGCACCACACAAGGCGAAUGGACCUUUGAUAUUAGCGCGAUCACCGAGGCAGCUGAUGCACAGCCAGUUGCAGGAGCUGAUGCACAGCCACAAUCAUCAGCACCCCCUCAACGACCUGGUGGCCAAGAUUCAAAUCUUGCAAACAACAACAGCAAAUCACCAUCCGGAAGUGGGCAGCAGUUGCACACCGAAUCAAGCCAUGCCAAGGAUCUCCCUCAGAGCGAUGAUAAUGACGAUGAUGAUGCCUUCAUGGAACCCCCACCGAGGUAACCAGUUGCGAAGAAACAGUGCAUCAAUGCAACUUCCAAGGCACAAUAGAUUUAUCUUUUUUUGUUAGCCUGCCAAUAAUCCAGUCAAGUAUGCUCAUGCACUUACUGUUCAGUGUGCCCCAUCAACAUUCAACUCGUUUGUCGAACACCUAACCUUACUGCAGCGCAGGAGAAUCAUGGAUAUGGGUUUUGGUGGCCUCCUGAGUAUUUCAGCGGAGAGGUUAGAGAGCAGAGAACUAUUAAAGUUCAUGUUCUAUAGGCUAGACCUCAAAACUAUGGUAAUCAAUGUUACCAAAGACAAGACAAUCCAUGUCACCCCAUUUGCCGUCAAGCAAGUGCUUGACUUAGCGGACAGAGGUGAAAUUCUACAGUUGCAUACACACGCAAGCAUCCGAGGCAUUGUCUGCUUUCAAGACAUCAGUGGGUCUACAAGAAUCCUAGGACCUCCACAUUAGUCAUCUCCAGAAGAUAUUGAAGGAUGAUCAUGAGCUGGGACUGGCCUCAUUGAUAAUGAUAUGGCUAUAAGAUUUUUUCUUUAUCAUUGCUUGCAGCAAACUGUUUUUCCCAAGCACUGAUAAUAACAUCAGAUGCAAGGAUGUUUACCUUACCAGGGACCUAUCUCGCUUGUCGGGUUUUAACUGGUGCAAGGCAGUUGUGAAUGACCUACGAGAUGCUGCAGUCACUUGGCAGGUGGACAAAGCGAAUAAAUCACUAUCAAGAUGUUCAAUAUUACUGAUUAUACUGUAUUUGGACAACCUACAAUGCAAAGACCAGAUUGUGCAUACCAGGACUCCUCGUGCAAAGUACUUUGAUCAAAAUGUGAUAAAAAAAUUAAUUAGUGCCGAUAGGACCAAAAACCAACAAGGGAAGUCUACAUUUGGGCUGUUACUGCUUAGGAACAACAUCAAUAUAUACUUGCUACCAUGUGACUCAGCACCCAUCUACAAAUGUCCCAGCACCCAUUGAACCGUUGUCAACACAUUUCCCCAGCAUGCAAGCAGAAUUGCAUGAAUUAGUUGACCAGAUUGGUAGCAGAUCCAGGAAGAUGCAGGCAAUGGUGGCAUUGGCAAAUUUUGAUGCCAAAGCUAAGAAAGCAUUGAGCUAUAUGAACAUUGGGCAACAGAUGCUACGGGAUGCACAUGAGGCAGUCAUUCACUCUUUGAACAAUUUUGAAUGACAAGGUGCAUGGCAACAAUACUGAAGAACAUCAUGGUCAGCCCCACGUUUCUGAUAUAGGUGCUCACACAAACCAUGAGAUUCACUAGCGUGCACGUGUUGAAUUGCAACAAAACAGGACUCAAGAACAAGUUUUACCAACAUCCAACACAUUGCCCUAUGAAAAUGCUAACCUUCAAAACGAAAUGGAUGUCGAACUUUCACCCGUCUGCACUCAACUUCACGAAGAUGUGACGAUUGAUCAUGUUGUGCCUCCUAUUGCGGCCAAAGGAAACACUGCCACAGCCUCUCCAGAUACGCAAGCCAAGACGUCAACAUGAAUGAUGGCCACAGUGCACAGAAUGUCAGAUCUGAACAUGUAUUUGGUGCGACACUUAUUCAACAUAACCAAAUUGAAAAUGAUAUGUCUUCUGGUGGUAAAAACCAGGAGCUUAACCAGGGCGUUCCCGAAGGGUUCCAACAGAACAGGACCGAAGAACAAGAUUUACCACCUUCCGAAGCACUACACGAUAGUAUUGCUUAUCACAAAGACAAUGUUGACCUUGACAACAUAAUGGAAGACGACCUUUCACCCGUUUGUACUCAAGUUUCAAAUCCAUUGUUCAGUAACAACACUACUAUUUUAGCAUCAAUCGUGGCAUCUUUUAAACACAUAUUUGAUUCUUCAUAUCCAGGUUCACACAGAUGUGACGAUUGAUCACAUCGUACCUCAUGCUCUAGCUAAAGGAGACUCUGUCGCAGCUUCGCCAAAUGGCAGAAUCGAGAUCAUCGCAGAUGAUGCACUUAGCCCUAUUCUUUUACAGCAUUGCACACAAGAUGACAUCAUCCAUCGUCCAGCCAUUGCUCUGAGGCCACGGCGGCUUUCAAAACGACCACCCAGGUGUGUGUCCCCUUUUAAAGGCGAUCCAGAAAGAGCAAAAGCUCCACAGUUAACAGCACAUGCUGUGAGGAAAAAAGUUCCACAUUGACAUGAAGUGCAAAAGUGAUAUUUUCAUUCGCACCGGCUUGAGAGAAUUCACUGGAUCAGAUAUAUCAGUCUUUCCUUGAUGGCGAGAUGCUUUCCACCCAAUUCAUGUCAUACUUCGUUGCCUGCAUGAGCUAUGAUGAAUGCCACAUGGCUGAUGGUGGUGGGUACAGGGUCUUCCUAUCUUAAGAGCUUAGGAAUAUGUCAAUACGAAGAUGAAAAUUUCUCGCAGUGGGAAUCACAUCAGGCACGAGCUGUCUUACAACGAGAUAUUGGAGAUCUUGACCCAACCAAAGUGAAACUAUGGUUCUUGCCGGUUAUGGAGGAGGAGCACUAUAGCAUCUACUGCAUCAACUUCAUACACGAGCGUAUUGAUGUACUUGAUUCCAGUCCCAAAGAAUCGAAAGCUUCAUGUUUGGUUCGGGAAGAGAUCAUAAAAAUUGUAAACUUAAUAGCAAGAUAAUCUACUUUCAUUAAAAGAUUUAUUAGAUAAUCGAAAACAAAGGAUCUUAAGUACUCUUCGAAAUUUGGAAGAAUUGCGUAGAGGGACCCUUGAACAACUCAAAAAAGCUCGGAUUCGAUUAUAGAAAGUUGAAUAGCUGACCACAUAGAUUACCACCAAGUCCUAGGUGACCAAAUUAUUCGACGUCUUAAUCUCUUGUUCCAGUUGGUAACAAAAUUUGAAAUGAAGCAAUUUACUAUAUUCAAACGCCCUAUCAUUGACGUAUGUAUGCAUACGGACGACAAUGACUGUGGAUUCUUUGCCAUCAAAUUCAUGGAGCUAUGGAACGGUGACUCCUUCCAUGUUCCAAUCCUCACAGAAAACGUUCGGCAGUAUAGGUCUCAGCUCCCCUUCUACGGCCUCUAUCACAGAAUCAACGAGAUCAAGAAGCUCCCUGCUGGUCUAGAAGCACACAGGCGUCGCAUGUGAUCCUCGUGACUGUUGUUUAUUAGACGGAAUAAAUAAACAAGUUCACUAGCAAACACGUUUAUUUUGUCUUCAUUUUCGACAAAAUCCAGACAUUCUAUGUAGU